AUGAUGCAAAAAAUGUUUGUUUUCAUUGGAACGAGACAGAAAAGAUUAGCAUGGCCCCCGUGCGAGGAUGACACGCAAAUUUGUGAAGAGUUCCAUAUUUAA
Molecule: small nuclear RNA, 102 nt
Organism: Suricata suricatta (meerkat)
Lineage: Eukaryota; Metazoa; Chordata; Mammalia; Carnivora; Herpestidae
Source: Ensembl